GAAAAAGGUCCCCUGAUCUUGAUAUCAACCUCAUUCGGAAUAUCCUUGCCAUUUUAGAGGAUAACCCAUAUGUCCAUACUUUUAGGAGAAAUGGUGCUUUUCCAAACUUGGAUGACUACCGGAUUGAACUCAACACAAAUGUUACUCCUGACCAGAGAAGAUACAAUGCCCCAACAGCCUCCCAGGUUGCUGCUAUUUGGCUGGAAGGGAACGAUCCACAAAGAUGUUUUGACAGGAGUGUGGUAGUAUAUGGAAAGACCGAUCGCCGUCCCCAGUAUAUACGAGCAUGGCAUGGUUGUUAUGAUCCAUUAGGUUAUCCUAUGUAUAAUCCGCGAGGGGAAACAGGGUGGAACAAGUUUAUGUCAUAUAGUGGGGAUCAAGUCACUCCAUCUACAGCCCCGACUUCUACUAAUAGUGUUAAUAACAUGGAUCAGAGGACUACUGGUGGUUAUCCAGUUGAUGAUAAUAACGACAAUUAUGCGGAAGGCGGUGAUAAUGACGUCCAAGAAGGUGAAUGGCUAAGCGGAGUUGCAGAUUCAGCACAAUCCGCAUGUAACUGCACGAGAAUACUACUGCUUCAAAAUGCAAGUUAGAAGGGGGAUUUUUAACAUUAUAUUAUUUGGAGGUCGUCUUUUCCAGCAAUGGGCUGUAGAUAUGUAUAUAAAGAUUGAGUCUAUGAGGCUAGAUUGGUACUCAAAUCCAGAAAACCAAAAACUAAUACGAGCAGAGCUAUACCAGGUUCCUGUAGCAGGUCUGACAACAGACAGAAAUGCAGUAGUGGAGCGUGGAUGAGGACUCAUGCAUGACUAUUAGAAUCAUGGGAACUUGAAGUCUGAACAUGAAUGAUUUUGGUGUCACAAUUACUCUGCAUUUGUUCUACAAACUGUGGGAAUGAAAAGCUGUUGAACAUUAGCAGACAACCAAACGAGCUUGACUAUGGUGGCUUGGUCUGCAGUUAACACGAUAUUUCUGUUAAAAAUACUAGAAAACAUUGUGACAUGUUUGGUUUCAGUUUCAGUUAACACGCUAUGUUCAGUGUCAUGUUAUUUCCAGCAAAAGCAGAAACUACACUAACUGAUACUUGCCUGCUCAAUGUGGACAAACAAUAACAA
Long non-coding RNA from Sorghum bicolor (sorghum), 1112 nucleotides. RefSeq lists it as uncharacterized. The record is from RefSeq and is a predicted model, not a curated record. Lineage: Eukaryota; Viridiplantae; Streptophyta; Magnoliopsida; Poales; Poaceae. The transcript has 3 exons.